AUUGAACGCUAACGGCGUGCUUAACACAUGAAGGUCGAGCGGCAGCAUGACUGUAGCAAUACAGUUGAUGGCGAGCGGCGGACGGGUGAGUAAUGCAUAGGAAUCUGCCUUGUAGUGGGGGAUAACCGGGGGAAAAUCGGGCUAAUACCGCAUAAUCUCUACGGAGCAAAGGGGGGGACCUUCGGGCCCUACGCUAAAAGAUGAGCCUAUGUUGGAUUAGCUAGUUGGUAGGGUAAAGGCCUACCAAGGCAACGAUCCAUAGCUGGUCUGAGAGGAUGAUCAGCCACACUGGGACUGAGACACGGCCCAGACUCCUACGGGAGGCAUCAGUGGGAAAUAUUGGACAAUGGGCGAAAGCCUGAUCCAGCAACGCCGUGUGUGUGAAGAAGGCCUUCGGGUUGUAAAGCACUUUUAGUGGGGGAGAAAAGUUCAUGGCUAAUAUCCAUGAAUGCUGACGUUACCCACAGAAAAAGCACUGGCUAACUCUGUGCCAGCAGCCGCCGUAA
Molecule: ribosomal RNA, 506 nt
Filed under: uncultured bacterium
Lineage: Bacteria
Description: partial 16S ribosomal RNA
Rfam family: Bacterial small subunit ribosomal RNA
Source: RNAcentral